CAGUCGCCGCGGGAAUACGAAGGGGGCUAGCGUUGCUCGGAAUUACUGGGCGUAAAGGGAGCGUAGGCGGACAUUUAAGUCAGGGGUGAAAUCCCAGAGCUCAACUCUGGAAUUGCCUUUGAUACUGGGUGUCUUGAGUGUGAUAGAGGUAUGUGGAACUCCGAGUGUAGAGGUGAAAUUCGUAGAUAUUCGGAAGAACACCAGUGGCGAAGGCGACAUACUGGAUCAUUACUGACGCUGAGGCUCGAAAGCGUGGGGAGCAAACAGGAUUAGAUACCCGCGUAGUCCCUGUCUCUUAUAC
This 301-nucleotide ribosomal RNA is filed under the name uncultured bacterium. RNAcentral's name for it is "partial 16S ribosomal RNA". It matches the Rfam family "Bacterial small subunit ribosomal RNA", at positions 509 to 807 of the family's 1533-position model. The record is from RNAcentral.